This 231-nucleotide ribosomal RNA is filed under the name uncultured bacterium. Its description in RNAcentral is "partial 16S ribosomal RNA". It matches the Rfam family "Bacterial small subunit ribosomal RNA", at positions 96 to 334 of the family's 1533-position model. The record is from RNAcentral.
UGGCGGACGGCUGAGGAACACGUGGGUAUCUGCCCUCCAGUGGGGGACAACACGCCGAAAGGCGUGCUAAUCCCGCAUACGUUCCCUUGUAACGAGGGAAGAAAGCGGCAACGCGCUGGACGAGGAGCCUGCGGCCCAUCAGAUAGUUGGCGGGGUAAUGGCCCACCAAGUCGGUGACGGGUCCCUGGUCUGAGAGGACGACCAGGCAGACUGGGACUGAGAACGGCCCAG